Molecule: ribosomal RNA, 497 nt
Filed under: uncultured bacterium
Lineage: Bacteria
Description: partial 16S ribosomal RNA
Rfam family: Bacterial small subunit ribosomal RNA
Source: RNAcentral
GAUGAACGCUGGCGGCGUGCCUAAUACAUGCAAGUCGAGCGAACAGACGAGGAGCUUGCUCCUCUGACGUUAGCGGCGGACGGGUGAGUAACACGUGGAUAACCUACCUAUAAGACUGGGAUAACUUCGGGAAACCGGAGCUAAUACCGGAUAAUAUAUUGAACCGCAUGGUUCAAUAGUGAAAGACGGUUUUGCUGUCACUUAUAGAUGGAUCCGCGCCUCAUUAGCUAGUUGGUAAGGUAACGGCUUACCAAGGCAACGAUGCGUAGCCGACCUGAGAGGGUGAUCGGCCACACUGGAACUGAGACACGGUCCAGACUCCUACGGGAGGCAGCAGUAGGAAAUCUUCCGCAAUGGGCGAAAGCCUGGCGGAGCAACGCCGCGUGAGUGAUGAAGGUCUUCGGAUCGUAAAACUCUGUUAUUAGGGAAGAACAAAUGUGUAAGUAACUAUGCACGUCUUGACGAUACCUAAUCAGAAAGCCACGGCUAACUACGUG